Non-coding RNA from Caerostris darwini, 74 nucleotides. The record is from the annotation of a GenBank genome assembly. NCBI's taxonomy places the organism in Eukaryota, Metazoa, Arthropoda, Arachnida, Araneae, Araneidae.
UCCCAUGUGGUCUAGUGGUUAGGAUUUUCCUGGCUUUCACCCAGGCGGCCCGGGUUCGAUUCCCGGCAUGGGAA